UACGUAGGGUGCAAGCGUUGUCCGGAUUUAUUGGGCGUAAAGAGCUCGUAGGCGGUCUGUCGCGUCGGAUGUGAAAACCCAGGGCUCAACCCUGGGCCUGCAUUCGAUACGGGCAGACUAGAGUAUGGCAGGGGAGACUGGAAUUCCUGGUGUAGCGGUGAAAUGCGCAGAUAUCGGGAAGAACACCUAUGGCGAAGGCAGCUCUCUGGGACGGUACUGACGCUGAGACGCGAAAGCGUGGGGAGCGAACAGG
Molecule: ribosomal RNA, 253 nt
Filed under: uncultured bacterium
Lineage: Bacteria
Description: partial 16S ribosomal RNA
Rfam family: Bacterial small subunit ribosomal RNA
Source: RNAcentral